This is a non-coding RNA of Pelobates cultripes (western spadefoot toad), 517 nucleotides long. The record is from the annotation of a GenBank genome assembly. NCBI's taxonomy places the organism in Eukaryota, Metazoa, Chordata, Amphibia, Anura, Pelobatidae.
AGUGCCCACGUUGACUCCUUUUCACUGCCGAAAGCGCCUUCAAUGAAGUUGUGAGCAUCGGAACUGGUCCUGGUCAUGUGACUGUUACUUUGACACCUACCUAGAGCUUGUUGCAGACCACGCACCCCUUCAUGGCAACGGUGUUCCCUGAUGGCAGGAUAAUGCACCAUGCCACUCUGUUUCAGCAGGAUAAUGUAUUGUGCCACACUGCAAAAAUUGUUCAGGAAUGGUUUGAAGAACAUGAUAAAGAGUUUAAGGUGUUAAACAACAAAUCCAAUCCAUGGAGGUCCCACCUCGCAACUUGCAUGACCUAAAGGAUCUGCUUCUAAAAUAUUGGCGCUGGAUACUACAGGACAUAUUUAGAGGUCAACGCAUCAGAGCUGUUCUGGCAGCACUAUGGGGACCAACACAAUAUUAGGCAGGUAGUUUUAAUGUUGUGGCUGAUCAAUGUAGAUGUUCAAUAACUCUGGUAUUCAUGGUGUUAAAAUCAACAUAACUAAGAACGAUGGAUAAGUGG